RNAcentral lists this long non-coding RNA (1617 nucleotides) under Calidris pugnax (ruff). RNAcentral describes it as "lncRNA (ENSCPUG00000002063.1)". The record is from RNAcentral. Lineage: Eukaryota; Metazoa; Chordata; Aves; Charadriiformes; Scolopacidae.
CCUUAAUGAAACUGUUUUUGCAAUGCAUGUCAAUCUAUCUUUAAUCCUACGUAGAAGGCCCUGUGGCUAUAUCUGAUGAGGGCAGAUUCUGCUGGUGCUUGUGGGACUUUGGGGAGCCCUUUUGUAGCUCCCAGCUCAGCAGUUAAGCCUGUUACAGUAAACCCUUUAGUUGUGCUAUUCAGGUUGUUUCUCACCCUUCCCCAGGUCCAGGCUGUUCAGCAAACACCACUCCGAGUGCAGAGCUAUGGGGGAAGUGGGAGGGUGUAGAGAGAUGGGGGUCGGUCUCUUUUCUCAAGUCACAGGCGACAGGACGAGAGGAAAUGGCCUCAAGCUGCGUCAGGGUAGGUUCAGGCUGGAUAUUAGGAAAAAUUUUUUCACUGAAAGGGUUCUCAGGCAUUGGAAUGGGCUGCCCAGGGAGGUGGUUGAGGCCCCAUCCCUGGAGGUGUUCAAAAGACGGGUUGAUGUAGUGCUGGGAGGUCUGGUUUAGUGAUGAUGCUCCUUGUUUGUUGUGUGGGUGUCUAUUUUUGUCAGUGAGACAGGACAAGAGGAAAUGGCCUCAAGUUGCGCCAGGGGAGGUUCAGGCUGGAUAUUAGGAAAAAUUUUUUCACUGAAAGGGUUCUCAGGCAUUGGAAUGGGCUGCCCAGGGAGGUGGUUGAGGCCCCAUCCCUGGAGGUGUUCAAAAGACGGGUUGAUGUAGUGCUGGGAGGUCUGGUUUAGUGAUGAUGCUCCUUGUUUGUUGUGUGGGUGUCUAUUUUUGUCAGUGAGGUUGACGGUUGGACAAGAUGAUCUUUAAGGUCCCUUCCAACCUAGAAGAUUCUGUGAUUCUGUGUUUUGCUACAGUUACGGCCCCUUCCUUCAACAACCGAAAAACCCACGUGCAGAGCUGCGAGGGAGGGGAAGGAGGAUCCUCAUCCUGCUUGUUGCACGUGUGCACAUCUGGAUUUUCACCUGGGGGUCUGCCAUGAGGCUAAAUAAACCUCACAAAUGAAGACAUCCCAAUUAUGCUCCCACCCGGGUCACGCCACCUUGUCCUGCUUGCUCUGCCAGAGAUCAUCCAGAAGUGCAACCAGGAUCACAAUUUAUGGUUUUCGAGGAGAUCCACUUUUCCCAGCGAAUGUAUGGCAGGAGCAGACUGCAGCAGGGAAUUCCCCCGUCUCUCACCAAUCCGGUACUUUGGUUUCUUCAGGGAACUUGCUCAUCUUUCAGAAACCACGAUUUGGUAACUGGAUGCAAUAUCAAAGUUUACCACAAAAACUGUCAAAAGGAGAAAUGAACGCUCUUGCUGAAAUAUGAAAACCACAGUAAAACUCUUCAAAAUGAAGUGUAAAAGCGUUGGGGUUGCAUAGUGACAAUGGGGAGAUGUUGAGGACUAACAGAUGAGACACUGGGGAGAGUAAGUUGCUCAUGCAGGUCAGAACUAGGCUGGUUGUAUUUCUGGCUUUGGGGCCUGAGGCUUUUAAAAUAGUGGUGGUGGUGGCCGGACAGUGACAUAGCAGCUGCUCCAUCCUUCCCCAGCCUUGUGUGUGCAGCGGAUGGACUGUCAGAGCUCUUCUCCUGUGGCUCCUCUUUACAAGUCCUCAAAGUUAAAUCAGAAUCUGUGUCUAUUUAAACUGGAAG